AGCUUUUGAUACUUGGUUGGGUUGCUGCUGGUUCUUUGGAACAUGUGCACACCUGACGCCAUUUUUACCACCUGUGCACCUUUUGUAGACCUGGAUAUCUCUCGAGGAAACUCGGUUUGGGGACUGCUGCGCGCAAGCCAGCUUUCCUUACAUUUCCGGUCUAUGUUUUUAUAUACCCUAUCAGAAUGUAACAGAAUGUCAUUAACAGGCCUUGGUGCCUUUAAAUAACAUACAACUUUCAACAACGGAUCUCUUGGCUCUCGCAUCGAUGAAGAACGCAGCGAAAUGCGAUAAGUAAUGUGAAUUGCAGAAUUCAGUGAAUCAUCGAAUCUUUGAACGCACCUUGCGCUCCUUGGUAUUCCGAGGAGCAUGCCUGUUUGAGUGUCAUUGAAUUCUCAACCUUCCUGGCUUUUGUUAGUCUGUUAGGCUUGGAUGUGGGAGUUGCGGGUUUCUCAGAAGUCAGCUCUCCUUAAAUGCAUUAGCGAAACCUUUGUUGACCAUCUCUGGUGUGAUAAUUAUCUACGCCAUUGGGAAGCAGCUUUACAAAUUGGUUGAGCUUCUAACCGUCUUUUGGGACAAUUUCUUGACAUUUGACCUCAAAUCAGGUAGGACUACCCGCUGAACUUAAGCAUAUCAAUAACCGGGAGGAA
This 650-nucleotide small RNA is filed under the name Atractosporocybe inornata. RNAcentral's name for it is "eukaryotic LSU rRNA". The stretch from base 234 to 387 matches the Rfam family "5.8S ribosomal RNA". The record is from RNAcentral. Lineage: Eukaryota; Fungi; Basidiomycota; Agaricomycetes; Agaricales; Lyophyllaceae.